AGCUAGGCUCUUUACGGAGCAGUGAUUCCGGAGCUGAAUUGGGAGUGGAUCCGCAUCAAUGAAGCAGUGUGGCUCCGUCAACAACAAAAUGGGAUAUUCCAGACGAAACAAAGAUGAAAGUUGCAGCUGAGCUGAAUUUAUCUGAAACUGCCUACCUACAGACUCUUGUACCUGGAGACACGUUCCAGACGGCAAGUCGCAUGAGGAUCCGUUGGUUCACACCCACCAAUGAAGUGAACCUGUGUGGCCAUGCUACAGUGGCCUCAGCUGCUGCGCUCUUCUACGUCGUGGGCAAUCGGAAUGACGUCAUUCGAUUUGAAAGUCUGAGCGGCGAGGUGAUAGCGAAGAGAGAAGGGGAUUUCAUCGGGCUGGACUUCCCUCUCAACCCACCAGCACCAGAGGAGAGGGCCCCUUUGGCAGAACUUAUUCAGGCUUGCCUUGGUACUAUCGUUCCUGCCGAUGUUCGGUUUACUAUGAUGGCAAACCAGGAACUACUGCUCCGCUUGCCUGACUCUGAAAAUAGGGCAACCCUGGAGAGUCUGAAACCAGACAUCGGGGCCAUGAUGGCUGCCCCCAACGCUGACAACCGCGUCAAAGGCGUCGUCGUCACCCUGAAGGGUAACCCUGACAACGGAGCCGUGGAUGCAGACGGCAAGCAGUAUGACUUCAUCUCCAGGUAUUUCGCCCCAUGGAACGGUAUACCCGAGGAUCCAGUAACCGGUUCUGCACACACUGUCCUGGCAGGCUAUUGGUCAGAGCAGCUUGGAAAGAAGGAACUAUACGCUCGUCAGUGUUCUGCAAGAGGGGGGGAUAUUCAAAUGAAAGUGCGGGAUGAUGGGCGUGUCGAACUACUCGGCAAAGCAACUGUUGUUCUGCAGGGAGAAAUUACUAUCUAGAAAAUCCCCUCAGGAAUUUUUUUUUUCUGAAAUCUUGAAAAGAUGUUUUCUGUAUUCAGAUUUUCUUUUACUUCUUUUCUUAUAUCCUUUCUUCUUUUUUUUCUUUAGCUUUUGAUUGUAUGCAUUGCAUGCAUUACAUUUGGCAAAUAUUGUAUUCUCUCUUCUAAACCUUGAAACCGUUUGGAAUUUGUUUUUAUUUAGAGGUCUCUGAUGAGGAUUUUGUUGAUCAUGAUCAUUGCAAGUUCCGAAUUUGGUUUUAUUCAUAUUGGGGGAUACUUGGGGGAGUUUCUUUCCCUAAUUCAGCAUUUGAAGUUUUUUUGUUGGAUUUUUUUGCUGAAAUGUAUGUUACAUGUACGACUCUUCCAGUACCUGUCUGAAAAAUUUAUAUGUAUCAGCUGAUUAGAGUUUUCAUGUUUUAGGGUUCGGAUAUCACGCACAACGUUGAACAAUUAAUUAAAUAUUAGGAGAGACACAAAUUUUAUUGUCAAAUUGUGUACACGACUGCCUGCUAAGGUAAUGUUAUCAAAUUGCCACCCAUUUUUGCACUGAAUAUUUUAAUUUGCUCAGGAAGCAAAAGUGCACUUGAAAUGUGCCAUUAAAUUUUUUAAUAUACACUUUUCUGGUUUUUCUGUGGAUUAAACUACAUUCUGGUGUGGACAUAUGAAAUGAAGUAACAAACCAGAAUCUCUGAAAUAAAAUAAACACUUUUAUUUCUCUUA
RNAcentral lists this unclassified non-coding RNA (1615 nucleotides) under Patiria miniata (bat star). RNAcentral's name for it is "phenazine biosynthesis-like domain-containing protein 1, transcript variant X3". Lineage: Eukaryota; Metazoa; Echinodermata; Asteroidea; Valvatida; Asterinidae. The record is from RNAcentral.